Malaya genurostris is the source of this 708-nucleotide long non-coding RNA. RefSeq lists it as uncharacterized. The record is from RefSeq and is a predicted model, not a curated record. The transcript has 3 exons. NCBI's taxonomy places the organism in Eukaryota, Metazoa, Arthropoda, Insecta, Diptera, Culicidae.
CGCCUUUUCUUUGAGAACGGCCAAUAAGCCAUCCGUCAACAUUCACUUUGAAGAGUAAUUUCGAAUGACUCGGCACUCGCUGAGAGUAAGUCAUAAUAGUAAACGGCAGAGAAAAGUUUUCUCUUUUGUCUGGUGUUAAAUUUAAUACUCUAUCUUUCAUAGCUCGCUUGUAAUUUCUUUCGAAAGUGGAAGUUGACAGGUGGCUAAAAAAAAACGAGUGAAGUAAACAAGCAAAAGCAAAAAGUGAUAAAUUUUCUAACGUACCGUUUAUUUCGAUUUUAGUUUUGCUGGUUGAAAUGGAGCCUUCAAAAGGUGAUACGUGCACUGUGUUGAUGAACUUGUCGGAUGUUUUCAACUACGCUGCCGGAGGAAACCGUUAAGUUAGUUGGAGUAGAAGAGAUCUACAAUGAUGGAUUCGUCUUAUCUUCGACUUGUCUACAGUCCUUCUCUCCAACUAUCGAGCCGCACGCAAUAAAAGUUUGCACUAGAAGUGAGCUUUCUGCUUGGUUAUUUUCAUGUUCUUUCAAAGCCAGUAAAUAAACAUGCAAACAUGUGAUGACUGUUUUGAAUGAUUUAUGAAGAAACUCGACUCUAUAGAACGAUUGACAUCCAACGAGAUUACAACGAACGGUGUUAAGAUAUUCCGAACCAAUAACAUCAUGCUUGAGGACAUUUGGGAUUUAUUUAUUAAGUAUAUUUUAUUAUCAG